This 125-nucleotide small RNA is filed under the name Marmota monax (woodchuck). Lineage: Eukaryota; Metazoa; Chordata; Mammalia; Rodentia; Sciuridae. The record is from RNAcentral.
GCCGGGCGUGGUGGCACACACCUGUAAUCCCAGCAGCUUGGGAGGCUGAGGCAUUAGGAUCAUGAGUUCAGAACUAGCCUCAGCAAUGGCAAGGAGCUAAGCAACUCAGUGAGACCCUGUCUCUA